UGGGGAAUAUUGCACAAUGGGCGCAAGCCUGAUGCAGCCAUGCCGCGUGUGUGAAGAAGUCCUUCGGGUUGUAAAGCACUUUCAGCGGGGAGGAAGGCGGUGAGGUUAAUAACCUCAUCGAUUGACGUUACCCGCAGAAGAAGCACCGGCUAACUCCGUGCCAGCAGCCGCGGUGAUACGGAGGGUGCAAGCGUUAAUCGGAAUUACUGGGCGUAAAGCGCACGCAGGCGGUCUGUCAAGUCGGAUGUGAAAUCCCCGGGCUCAACCUGGGAACUGCAUUCGAAACUGGCAGGCUAGAGUCUUGUAGAGGGGGGUAGAAUUCCAGGUGUAGCGGUGAAAUGCGUAGAGAUCUGGAGGAAUACCGGUGGCGAAGGCGGCCCCCUAGACAAAGACUGACGCUCAGGUGCGAAAGCGUGGGGAGCAAACAGG
This 429-nucleotide ribosomal RNA is filed under the name Chloroflexota bacterium. RNAcentral describes it as "Chloroflexi bacterium partial 16S ribosomal RNA". It matches the Rfam family "Bacterial small subunit ribosomal RNA", at positions 355 to 776 of the family's 1533-position model. The record is from RNAcentral. Lineage: Bacteria; Bacillati; Chloroflexota.